This 682-nucleotide ribosomal RNA is filed under the name Sordariomycetes sp. 3RF1. RNAcentral describes it as "SSU rRNA". It matches the Rfam family "Eukaryotic small subunit ribosomal RNA", at positions 857 to 1575 of the family's 1831-position model. Lineage: Eukaryota; Fungi; Ascomycota; Sordariomycetes. The record is from RNAcentral.
CCGCCGUAAUGAUUAAUAGGGACAGUCGGGGGCAUCAGUAUUCAAUUGUCAGAGGUGAAAUUCUUGGAUUUAUUGAAGACUAACUACUGCGAAAGCAUUUGCCAAGGAUGUUUUCAUUAAUCAGGAACGAAAGUUAGGGGAUCGAAGACGAUCAGAUACCGUCGUAGUCUUAACCAUAAACUAUGCCGACUAGGGAUCGGACGAUGUUAUUUUUUGACUCGUUCGGCACCUUACACGAAAGUACAAGUUUCUGGGUUCUGGGGGGAGUAUGGUCGCAAGGCUGAAACUUAAAGAAAUUGACGGAAGGGCACCACCAGGGGUGGAGCCUGCGGCUUAAUUUGACUCAACACGGGGAAACUCACCAGGUCCAGACACGAUGAGGAUUGACAGAUUGAGAGCUCUUUCUUGAUUUCGUGGGUGGUGGUGCAUGGCCGUUCUUAGUUGGUGGAGUGAUUUGUCUGCUUAAUUGCGAUAACGAACGAGACCUUAACCUGCUAAAUAGCCCGCGUUGCUUUGGCAGCGCGCUGGCUUCUUAGAGGGACUAUCGGCUCAAGCCGAUGGAAGUUUGAGGCAUAACAGGUCUGUGAUGCCCUUAGAUGUUCUGGCCGCACGCGCGUACACUGACGGAGCCAGCGAGUCUCUGGCGAAAGCCCGGGUAUCUGUAAACUCCGUCGUGCUGGGA